RNAcentral lists this ribosomal RNA (326 nucleotides) under uncultured eukaryote. RNAcentral's name for it is "partial 18S ribosomal RNA". It matches the Rfam family "Eukaryotic small subunit ribosomal RNA", at positions 1470 to 1796 of the family's 1831-position model. The record is from RNAcentral.
CCCUUAGAUGUUCUGGGCCGCACGCGCGCUACACUGAUGCAUUCAACAAGCCUAGCCUUGACCGAGAGGUCCGGGUAAUCUUUGAAACUGCAUCGUGAUGGGGCUAGAUUAUUGCAAUUAUUAAUCUUCAACGAGGAGUGCCUAGUAAGCGUGAUUCAUCAAAUCGCGUUGAUUACGUCCCUGCCCUUUGUACACACCGCCCGUCGCUCCUACCGAUUGAAUGUGUUGGUGAGGAGCUCGGAUUGGCAGCAGUUGGUGGUUCGCCACCGGCUAUUGCUGAGAAGUCCUCCAAACCGCCCCAUUUAGAGGAAGGAGAAGUCGUANCA